ACUAAAAUAGCAAAGUAGUAUUGCAUAAGGCCUAAGCCCUUCUGUCAUAGGUGCAAUUCCUAUUUUUAGUG
This 71-nucleotide transfer RNA is filed under the name Branchiostoma floridae (Florida lancelet). It matches the Rfam family "tRNA". Rfam says of the family: Transfer RNA (tRNA) molecules are approximately 80 nucleotides in length. RNAcentral also lists the same sequence under 1 other name. Lineage: Eukaryota; Metazoa; Chordata; Leptocardii; Amphioxiformes; Branchiostomatidae. The record is from Rfam by way of RNAcentral.